AUAUCAAUAAGCGGAGGAAAAGAAACUAACAAGGAUUCCCCUAGUAACGGCGAGUGAAGAGGGAAAAGCUCAAAUUUGAAAUCUGGCUCUUUUAGAGUCCGAGUUGUAAUUUGUAGAGGGCGCUUUGGCGUUUGCAGCGGUCUAAGUUCCUUGGAACAGGACGUCACAGAGGGUGAGAAUCCCGUACGUGGUCGCUAGUAUUCGCCGUGUAAAGCCCCUUCGACGAGUCGAGUUGUUUGGGAAUGCAGCUCUAAAUGGGAGGUAAAUUUCUUCUAAAGCUAAAUACUGGCCAGAGACCGAUAGCGCACAAGUAGAGUGAUCGAAAGAUGAAAAGCACUUUGGAAAGAGAGUCAAACAGCACGUGAAAUUGUUGAAAGGGAAGCGCUUGCAGCCAGACUUGCCUGUAGUUGCUCAACCGAGCUUUUGCCCGGUGCAUUCUUCUGCGGGCAGGCCAGCAUCAGUUUGGGCGGUCGGAUAAAGGUCUCUGUCACGUACCUCCUUUCGGGGAGGCCUUAUAGGGGAGGCGACAUGCGACCAGCCUGGACUGAGGUCUGCGCAUCUGCUAGGAUGCUGGCGUAAUGGCUGUAAGCGG
This 592-nucleotide ribosomal RNA is filed under the name uncultured fungus. Its description in RNAcentral is "eukaryotic LSU rRNA". It matches the Rfam family "Eukaryotic large subunit ribosomal RNA", at positions 40 to 647 of the family's 3401-position model. Lineage: Eukaryota; Fungi. The record is from RNAcentral.